RNAcentral lists this ribosomal RNA (1919 nucleotides) under Pelagibacteraceae bacterium ETNP-OMZ-SAG-A10. Its description in RNAcentral is "bacterial LSU rRNA". It matches the Rfam family "Bacterial large subunit ribosomal RNA", at positions 14 to 2094 of the family's 2925-position model. Lineage: Bacteria; Pseudomonadati; Pseudomonadota; Alphaproteobacteria; Candidatus Pelagibacterales; Candidatus Pelagibacteraceae. The record is from RNAcentral.
AGGGCGUAUGGCGGAUGCCUAGGCACUGAAAGGCGAUGAAGGACGUGGUAUACUGCGAUAAGUUUCGGGGAGUUGUAUGCAGGCUUUGAUCCGAAAAUUUCCGAAUGGGAAAACCCAACUCUUUAUGAGUUACUUUGCACUGAAUUCAUAGGUGUAAAGAGCAAACCCGGAGAACUGAAACAUCUAAGUAACCGGAGGAAAAGAAAUCAAUUGAGACUCCGUUAGUAGUGGCGAGCGAAAGCGGAAUAGGCCAGCAAAGUUGAUAAGUUAAUUUGAAUAGUUUGGAAAAACUAACCAAAGCAGGUGAUAGUCCUUUAGAAGUAAUACUUAUUAAUUUUCUUGAGUAAAGCGGGACACGUGUAAUCUUGCUCGAAUAUAGGGGGACCACCCUCUAAGCCUAAGUACUCUUCAGUGACCGAUAGUGAACUAGUACCGUGAGGGAAAGGUGAAAAGAACCCCUAUUAGGGGAGUGAAAUAGAACCUGAAACCGUAUGCCUACAAACAGUCAAAGCUCUUUUUAGAGUGAUGGCGUACCUUUUGUAUAAUGGGUCAGUGAGUUAAUUUAUCCAGCAAGCUUAAGCCGAUAAGGUGUAGGCGUAGCGAAAGCAAGUCUUAAAUGGGCGUUAGUUGUAUGAAUUAGACCCGAAAACGAAUGAGCUUACCAUGAGCAGGUUGAAAGCAGGGUAACACUUGCCGGAGGACCGAACCAGUUGACGUUGAAAAGUCUUUGGAUGACUUGUGGUAAGGGGUGAAAGGCCAACCAAAUUCGUAGAUAGCUGGUUUUCCGCGAAAACUAUUUAGGUAGUGCGUUGAAUAAACAUACUUUUGGAGGUAGAGCACUAAAUGGGCUAGGGGGUAGAAAUACCUACCAAACCUAAUAAAACUCCGAAUGCCAAAAGUAAUUCCUCAACAGACAGACUGUGGGUGCUAAGGUCCAUGGUCGAGAGGGGAACAGCCCAGAUCACCAGAUAAGGUCCCUAAAUCAUGAUUAAGUGUGAAAGGAUGUGGAGAUUCCAUAACAGCCGGGAGGUUGGCUUAGAAGCAGCCAUCCUUUAAAGAUAGCGUAACAGCUCACCGGUCUAAUAGAGUUUCUGCGCCGAAGAUGUAACGGGGCUCAAAUCAUGUACCGAAUCUGUGGGUGUAUAAAGUUUUCGAAUUUUAUACGCGGUAGCGGAACGUUCUGUAAGCCUGUAAAGGUGUACCCGCGAGGGACACUGGAGGUAUCAGAAGUGCGAAUGCUGACAUAAGUAACGAUUAACAGAGUGAAAAACUCUGUCGCCGAAAAUCCAAGGUUUCCUGCGCAAGGUUAAUCCGCGCAGGGUUAGUCGGCCCCUAAGACGAGGGCGAAAGCCGUAGUCGAUGGGAACAAGGUUAAUAUUCCUUGACCAGAUGAGAGUGACGGAUUUUGUAAAUUGUAAGUUCUUAAUGGAUUGAACUUGCUGUGAAGAAAUCCCAGGAAAUAACCUCAUCAUAGACCGUACCCUAAACCGACACAGGUGGAUUAUUAGAGUAUAAUUAGGCGCUUGAGAGAAUGAUGUUGAAGGAACUCGGCAAAAUGCCUCUGUAACUUCGGAAGAAAGAGGACCUUUUUUAAGGCAACUUAAUUAAGGUGGCACAAGCCAGGGAGAAGCGACUGUUUAUCAAAAACACAGGACUCUGCUAACACGUAAGUGGAUGUAUAGGGUCUGACGCCUGCCCGGUGCUGGAAGGUUAAUAUGGUUGGUGCAAGCUAACUGUUGAAGCCCCAGUGAACGGCGGCCGUAACUAUAACGGUCCUAAGGUAGCGAAAUUCCUUGUCGGGUAAGUUCCGACCUGCAUGAAUGGCGUAACGAUUUCUCCGCUGUCUCCAACAUCAACUCAGUGAAAUUGAAUUCUCCGUGAAGAUGCGGAGUUCCCGUGGUUAGACGGAAAGACCCCGU